GACGAACGCUGGCGGCGUGCUUAACACAUGCAAGUCGAACGGAAAGGCCCUGCUUUUGUGGGGUGCUCGAGUGGCGAACGGGUGAGUAACACGUGAGUAACCUGCCCUUGACUUUGGGAUAACUUCAGGAAACUGGGGCUAAUACCGGAUAGGAGCUCCUGCUGCAUGGUGGGGGUUGGAAAGUUUCGGCGGUUGGGGAUGGACUCGCGGCUUAUCAGCUUGUUGGUGGGGUAGUGGCUUACCAAGGCUUUGACGGGUAGCCGGCCUGAGAGGGUGACCGGCCACAUUGGGACUGAGAGACGGCCCAGACUCCUACGGGAGGCAGCAGUGGGGAAUAUUGCACAAUGGGCGGAAGCCUGAGGCAGCAACGCCGCGUGCGGGAUGACGGCCUUCGGGUGGUAAACCGCUUUCGCCUGUGACGAAGCGUGAGUGACGGUAAUGGGUAAAGAAGCACCGGCUAACUACGUG
Molecule: ribosomal RNA, 468 nt
Filed under: uncultured bacterium
Lineage: Bacteria
Description: partial 16S ribosomal RNA
Rfam family: Bacterial small subunit ribosomal RNA
Source: RNAcentral